GACGAACGCUGGCGGCGUGCUUAACACAUGCAAGUCGAACGAUGAAGCCGGAGCUUGCUCUGGUGAAUUAGUGGCGAACGGGUGAGUAACACGUGAGUAACCUGCCCUUGACUCUGGGAUAACUGCGGGAAACUGUAGCUAAUACCGGAUACGACCCUCGGAGGCAUCUCCUGGGGGUGGAAAGAAUUUCGGUCAAGGAUGGGCUCGCGGCCUAUCAGCUAGUUGGUGAGGUAAAGGCUCACCAAGGCGACGACGGGUAGCCGGCCUGAGAGGGUGACCGGCCACACUGGGACUGAGACACGGCCCAGACUCCUACGGGAGGCAGCAGUGGGGAAUAUUGCACAAUGGGCGCAAGCCUGAUGCAGCAACGCCGCGUGAGGGAUGACGGCCUUCGGGUUGUAAACCUCUUUUAGCAGGGAAGAAGCGAAAGUGACGGUACCUGCAGAAAAAGCACCGGCUAACUACGUGCCAGCAGCCGCCGUAA
This 484-nucleotide ribosomal RNA is filed under the name uncultured bacterium. Its description in RNAcentral is "partial 16S ribosomal RNA". It matches the Rfam family "Bacterial small subunit ribosomal RNA", at positions 28 to 523 of the family's 1533-position model. The record is from RNAcentral.